This 523-nucleotide ribosomal RNA is filed under the name uncultured bacterium. RNAcentral describes it as "bacterial SSU rRNA". It matches the Rfam family "Bacterial small subunit ribosomal RNA", at positions 775 to 1285 of the family's 1533-position model. The record is from RNAcentral.
AGUCAAUAGAUACCCCGGUAGUCCACGCCGUAAACGAUGAAUACUAGGUGUAGGAGGUAUCGACUCCUUCUGUGCCGCAGUUAAACACAAUAAGUAUUCCGCCUGGGGAGUACGGUCGCAAGAUUAAAACUCAAAGGAAUUGACGGGGGCCCGGCACAAGCAGCGGAGCAUGUGGUUUAAUUCGAAGCAACGCGAAGAACCUUACCCAGACUUGACAUCUCCUGAAUUAAUCGUAAUUGAUGAAAUCCCUUCGGGGUACAGGAAGACAGGUGGUGCAUGGUUGUCGUCAGCUCGUGUCGUGAGAUGUUGGGUUAAGUCCCGCAACGAGCGCAACCCUUAUCAUUAGUUGCUAACAUUAAGUUGAGCACUCUAGUGAGACUGCCCGGGUUAACCGGGUACGGAAGGUGGGGUAUGACGUCAAAUCAUCAUGCCCCUUAUGUCUGGGGUCUACACACGUGCUACAAUGGUGGGAACCAAAGGAGAUGCAAGACCCGCGAGGUUGGAGCCAAACUCAAAAACCCCG